This 384-nucleotide RNase P RNA is filed under the name Candidatus Giovannonibacteria bacterium RIFCSPHIGHO2_01_FULL_45_33. RNAcentral's name for it is "RNase P RNA component class A". It matches the Rfam family "Bacterial RNase P class A". Rfam says of the family: Ribonuclease P (RNase P) is a ubiquitous endoribonuclease, found in archaea, bacteria and eukarya as well as chloroplasts and mitochondria. Its best characterised activity is the generation of mature 5'-ends of tRNAs by cleaving the 5'-leader elements of precursor-tRNAs. Cellular RNase Ps are ribonucleoproteins. RNAcentral also lists the same sequence under 2 other names. The record is from RNAcentral. Lineage: Bacteria; Candidatus Giovannoniibacteriota.
GUUCUUUGCCGGAUAGCUGCCCUUCGACAAGCUCAGGGUAAACUCCUGAUCUAAGUAGUGGGGAGGAAAGUCCGAACAUCCUUUGGCGCAAACCAAAGAAGGAGAUAGUGGCUAACAGCCACGCUUUACCGGAGAAAUUCGGUAGGGACGGAGAGUGCAACAGAAAAUAUACAGCCGCCUCGCCCCUAAAGGGUAGGGAGGCAAUGGUGAAAUCGUGCGGUAAGAGCGCACGUCGUGCCAUCGUGAGAUGGCAAGGUUGAAAACACCUAUCCGAUGCAACCUCGUAAUAGAGGGCUAGAACCCGAGAGUAAUCGAGGGUCCAGAUAGAUGGCUAUCUCCGCUGAUGAGGCGGAACAAAAUUCGGCUUAUAGGCAGAGAACCAAA